Molecule: long non-coding RNA, 272 nt
Filed under: Elaeis guineensis (African oil palm)
Lineage: Eukaryota; Viridiplantae; Streptophyta; Magnoliopsida; Arecales; Arecaceae
Description: long non-coding RNA (EGUI_LNC059708)
Source: RNAcentral
UCGGGGGUGAAGUCUGGCUCCCGUAGGAGUCCGGACGAAGUCUUCUUGUGGUUGAAGUCGGGGGCGAAGUCCGGCUCCCGUAGGAGUUUGGACGAAGUCUGCCUGCAAGUGAAGUCGUGGGUGGAGUCCGGCUCCCGUAGGAGUCCGGACGAAGUCUACAAGGUGGUUGAUCAUUGUGGAAACUUGGGUGGAGUCCGUCCGUCGCGAAGAAUCCGACCGACACUGAUGGGGGCUUAUCCAUCGGCAAAACUUGGGAGUGUUGCAGAGGCUCG